AUUAAUUUAGUAUAACCAGUACAUUUAACUUCCAAUUAAAAAGCUUGAAUUACUUCAAAAUUAAUA
RNAcentral lists this transfer RNA (66 nucleotides) under Anabropsis (Apteranabropsis) sp. QS-2017. RNAcentral's name for it is "Apteranabropsis sp. QS-2017 tRNA-Gly". RNAcentral also lists the same sequence under 1 other name. The record is from RNAcentral. Lineage: Eukaryota; Metazoa; Arthropoda; Insecta; Orthoptera; Anostostomatidae.